RNAcentral lists this long non-coding RNA (1032 nucleotides) under Oryctolagus cuniculus (rabbit). RNAcentral's name for it is "lncRNA (ENSOCUG00000030031.1)". The record is from RNAcentral. Lineage: Eukaryota; Metazoa; Chordata; Mammalia; Lagomorpha; Leporidae.
AUGCAAAUAAACAGAAAGACAGAUGGGCACAUGCAGAGAAAAAGAGACCUUCCACCUGCUGGCUCACUGCCUACAUGCCCGGAACAGCUGGGGCUGGGCCAGGCAGACACCGGGAACCGUAACUGCAUCCAGGUCUCCUCUGGGGGCUGCAGGGAACCGGCGUCUUGCGUCAGCAGCCCCGCCCCAGGGUGCUCAAUGGCAGGAAGCACUGACACGAGGCAUCGUUGGUUUCUUCUCACGAGACUCCGGUUUUCUCACAGAACGAGAGAGGGAAGCAUGACCUGUGGUCACCCCUGCCGCACCCCGAUCUCCGUUCCCACCCCCCCGCCAUGGGUUACAGUGUCACGUGUUCUGCCAGAGAGAAAGGAGGAAGGAGUGGGCACCAGGAGACCGGCUCAAAGGCGCUCCCAGCACUGUUCUCCGCCCGGCACGAGGACGGGCAGUGGGCCAUCGUUCUGCUCCUGGGAGGGCGCUGAUGGCCACCCGUGCCUGGGCCCGUGCUGUGGGCUGGGCGCAGGUUGGCCUCCCCCGAGUGCAGAAGAAUCAGAUAGGUCUGUCGUCUGGCUAAGCUCAGCCACUGUGGAGGGCGCUGUUCCUCUGCACACAGCUUGUAAGCGCGGCCCAUUUUCCAGCCUCAACAUUCCUCUCCCAGCGGCUGGUCCAGGCACUACGUCUGUGGAAACUGACCUUUCCGGUGUGAGCGAUUCUGAGCGGGGGCGCUGGCGUGGUGCUCCCAAGCGCCCCCCACCCGCACUCCCGCUCCCCGGGCAGCACUGCCCUCUCCCAGCCAGCAGCCACGCGGGGCCUUCUGCCAAUGCACGUCACCAAGCGGAAGACACGGCCACCCCUUCCAUCUUGCAAUGCUUCGGCGAGGGUCUUGCUGGCCCGGGCAGGGGCCCAACCACGCUGGCAGAUCCCCAGUGCCUGUGCUGGCCCAGGUGUGCGUGCAGCUCUGCUGGAGUUCCUGGAGUAGUCCCCACGCUGCUCUCGUGGUCCCCACGCCGCUCUCGUGGCCCACAGCCCUCGCCCUGA